This is a non-coding RNA of Odocoileus virginianus texanus, 2689 nucleotides long. NCBI's taxonomy places the organism in Eukaryota, Metazoa, Chordata, Mammalia, Artiodactyla, Cervidae. The record is from RefSeq and is a predicted model, not a curated record.
UGGAGUGGGUUGCCAUUUCCUCCUCCAGGGGAUCUUCCCGACCCAGGGAUUGAACCUGGAUCUCCCGCAAUGUAGGUAGGUGAUUUACUAUAUGAGCCACUAGGGAAGCCGAACCAGUUAAACCAGUAUAAACGAGUAUAAACCAGUACAAAUGAGUAAGUGAUUUCAAAGCACAGUUGAGGGAUUCCCUGGUGGCUCAGUGGUAAAGAGUCCGCCUGCCAAUGCAGGAGUCAUGGGUUCAAUCCCUGAUCUGGAAAGGGCCAGAUGCCGCUGGGCCCCUAAGCGCAUGCGCCACAACUACGGCACCUGUCCUCUGGAGCCCGGGAGCUGCAGCGACUGAACCCACUCGCCCAAAUUACUGAAGCCAGUGUGCUCCAGAGCCCGUGCUCCACAACGAGAGAAGCCACCGCAAUGAGAAGCCUGCACACAACUAGGAGUGGCAACUAGAAAAAGAAGUCCAUGCACUGGGAUAAACACCCAGCUCAUUCAAAAAUAAAUAAAAUCAUUUCUUUAAAAAGAAAAAUACAGUUGGGUAGGGUGGGGGCUGGCUGCAGCCUCAGACGGGGACCUUCUCUCCCCUCACCAGUGUCCAGGAUGUGGGACUGGGUGCUGGAGACAGGCCAGAGCCCGCUAUAGAGCCCAAACCGGAGCUGAUGUCAGCAAGAACCUAUGGAAUAUUCCCAGCCACCGUUCUCCAUAUGGCUGGCCUGGUCCAGCCUCACCACAGAGUGUAAAAGUAGCUGAACUGUCGGGCCUCAUGACAGGAGCUGAGAGGACCACGUCUUUUGUGUGGUACCCAGUAGGCUGGGCCGGUGGCAAGCCCUUCCGGCAAAGUGGGGAAGUCUGCCAAGCUGGAAAUGGAUGGGCAGGUCUGCGCCCCACCCUUUCCUCAGGUGAAAAGUCAUUUGCAAGCCUAUAAUUCCUAUGUUUAGUAAAUAUGCCAAUUGCUUCUUCUUGGGCAAUUUCUUUUUUUCCUCCUGUGCAGUUUUUAAAAAUGGAAACCGGAUCCGAGGCUUCGCGGUCAACGGCUUAUUUGCGGGCCCCGCCGCAGCCGACCCGGCUCUUCGGUGGAGAGACGAUGGUGGGCCGGAACAGCGCCAUCGCCGCCGGCGUCUGCGGGGCCCUUUUCAUCGGUUACUGCAUUUAUUUCGACCGCAAGAGACGGAGUGACCCCAACUUCAAGAACAGGCUGCGAGAACGAAGAAAGAAACAAAAGCUUGCCAAGGAGAGAGCUGGGCUUUCCAAGUUACCUGACCUUAAAGAUGCUGAAGCCGUUCAGAAAUUCUUUCUAGAAGAAAUACAGCUUGGUGAAGAAUUACUAGCUCAAGGUGAAUACGAGAAGGGUGUGGACCACCUGACGAACGCCAUUGCUGUGUGUGGGCAGCCGCAGCAGUUACUGCAGGUGCUGCAGCAGACGCUCCCGCCGCCGGUGUUCCAGAUGCUUCUGACCAAGCUCCCAACGAUCAGUCAGAGAAUUGUAAGUGCUCAGAGCUUGGCUGAAGAUGAUGUGGAAUGAGAAACAAUUAUCAACAUAAUGAUAUCAAUUAAAACAUAUUUUUAAAAUCUUAACUCGGAAGAUGAUCAGCUCUGGGGGAGUAAGGGCAGAUGAGCUUGUUAUGGACUGUCCUCCACAGUGAAGUCUACCAAAGUUAAUUUUUACUUUGUGUAGAUCCAUUUGUCUGUUUUAUUUAUUUUUCCCAGUGAAAAGUGUAUUUUGAUAGAGAGCUUUUCAUUUUAUAAAUACACUAUGAAUUACUGAAAUAUGCAUUUUGUUUAUUCCUAAAAUGUGUAAUUAGAAUGUACAUAUAACAUCCCAUUACUUACAUUAAAAAUACCCGGUGCUCAGUUUUGAAAGAUGGGCCCAAAAAAGUGUAGAAGAAAACUGAAGAAUAUACUUGUUUUGCUCUACAUCAGAAAGUUGGCUGGAAACUUGUGUUGAUCAAAACUGAGCAUUAAAAUAAGAGAUUAUUUCUUUCCAUUUAAUCUCUUAAAUAUGUGUAAUGUGCUGCUAUGCUAUAAUAACAACUUCACCCCCACCCUUGAAUGUUUUCUUUAAAUCAGUGGGUUUGAUGUGUUCUGAAUAUUUAUCUCCUUGUAUUUUAGAUACAUGUAGUUGCAGAUAGCACCAGGAAUUAGAUGUCUAUAUAUUCUUAAUCUGGCUGAGUAAGCUUUACCAGUUAAUGUCUGCCCACUUGCCUCAUAUAUAAACUGAGGAAAUGGGUCUGCUAAUUCAGCUUCUAAUUCCUUUGGUUCUGUGCAGCAUUUUCAAAUCCCUCUUUCUGAGGGAAAUACCUGUUUGGGCCGCCAGCCCUUGCAUUUUUUUAUACUCUGAAUUUUGCAUGCUUGCCUGACUUAGUAUUUCUGAAUUGGUUUUUUAAAAGGUAUAACGUGUUGAUUUUCAGUGAAACCAUGGUUCUGUCACUACUUUUGUAAAUUAACCUGAAACGUAACCUUCACGGUAACUGGGACGAUAUGCUUGUAAAAGUGUUGGUUCCCUUUGCUUUUCUCCUCUGUACCUCCUUAAUCCCCUACCAACCCUUAUCUUGUGUGAGAAUAAGGUGUACUUUGUGGCUGAAGACUUGAAUGAAGAUAAUGGGACCUUUUAUUCUCUACAUAGUGACGAAUUAUCUGCAGCCACAGAUUGAAUAUCAGACCUAAGAAUAAAGCUCCUUGGUACUUAAAAAAAAAA